UUCUUUUUCAGGUAAAUCAGGUACAUUUUUGGUUUGGAUCCAUUGCUGAUGAGCUAGUGUGAUUUUGGGGGGAUAUUAAAGAGUCAUAUUAGCAGAGAUGUUUUGCCAUAUUACCAGAGUUGUUUUUCUGGUUCCUCCUUAUUUGGGUAGGCUUUGUCAGAGGGAAAGUCUAGAACUGAAGGCUGUUCAGAUUCUUUUGUCCCAUGAGGUAUUCCCUUAAUGUAGUACUCUUCCCCUUUUCCUGUGGAUGUGGCUUCCUGUGAGCUGAGCUGCAGUGAUUGUUAUCUCUCUUCCAGGUCUAGCCAUGCAGCAAGUCUACCCAGCUCCAGGCUGGUACUUGGGGUUGUCUUCACAGAGUCCUGCAAUGUGAACUGUCAAUAGAUCUCUCAGACAUGGAUGCCAGCACAUUAUUUGGAUGUCUCCUGGGUCCUGCAGGAGCAGUCUAUUUUCUUCAGAGGUUCUAUGGGUCCUCUCUGGAUUUCUGGUUUGUUCUUACAGUCAUUCUGGAGCUAAAAUUCACUGUGAGAGCCUCUGCAUGCUGCUCUGAGUCGGAACUGCAAUCUAGUCCUACCGUCUCAUCUGCCAUCUAUUUUCACUGCAAUUAUUUGAGAUGAAAUUUUAUCAUGAGAGAAUCUUUGGACUUUGAGCCUUGGCAGAGUUGGACUGCUACAGAAACCACCACAGUCUGGCAUGAAUUAAGUCCCACUGCAGAGGUGAACUGGAGCCAAGAUUUCAACCUCCAAAUGAUUACUGCUGGGGGAAAAAGGCUCUGGGCCAUGCUGACAAUGAAUAUCAGCUGCUCUGGAUGGACCUCCUAGGAUGAAGGAAGGGGAAGUGGUGCUGACAGCAAGCAGGAGAAGAGGACCCAACAGCUGGCUGCUCUUCAUCCCUCACAGAAUGGCACGGAAAGAGAGCAAAUAAUUUCAAAAUAUCUGGAAAAACAUUUAGACAGCACAGACAAUUUAUUUGGAACCUCCAUAUCAGGAAAUUGCUUCUCUAAUGCAGUGACUUACUACUGAAAAGAAAGAAAAAAUCUCUCAUGUUUGCAAAAUUCACUUUGCACAGUGCCUCAAACUUAGACCUAGUGGUCUAAUGAGAAUGUGGCUCAUUAAAUUUCUCACAGGGAGGGAAGGGACCCAGGAAGUGUCCCCCAGAUCUGGUUCACAGCCUAAGGGAAAAACGCCUAUGCCUUACUAUCAAAGGGUAUAAGAAAAUAGCAUUAAUCUCCAUUGUCCUGAUUAAUCACUCCUAAAGGUAUAAACAGGAAAUUCAGGCCUGUUACCACCCUCCUAGGAGUGCCAGCAUAUUUUACAGUCCACAAAAUCCUGCGCAAAUCUCCCUUCCCUGUUCACACCUCAGAGACACAAGAGUAAGCCAAGUUUUUUGAACCAUGAUUUUGCUAUUCAUAUAUAUCGAAGCGCUUUCAUGUUCUCACAAAACUUGAGGCCCUGAAAGUAAGAUUUAUGCCCUGCCAGGAAAACUGGGUUUAAUGUAGUCCCACUACUGCUAUUGAGUAAACUCUUCAGAAGAGCCAUCAAGUCUUAAGAAAUCAGACAUAGCAGAGCCCCUACAGAACUAAAACACAUUUCCCCCUAACCAGGAUUCACCUGCACUUCAGGCUGAGACUUUUUUCCUAGGGCUCAAUACCCACCUCCUGCCUGGUGAGGUAUCUUUCCUCCCAAGCGCCCUCAACACCUUUUACACAUCUGCCAUGAUAUGUAACUUCUUGUACUGAAAUUGUCUAAUGAUAUAUUUGUCUCUCCCCAAUUACACCACACUGUCCUUGAGCAGGAAACAGAAUCGUUUUCGGUUUUAUUAGGUUGGUGCAAAAGUAAUUGCGGUUGUGCACUGCAAUUACCUUUGCACCAACGUAAUAGUUUCCCAGUGCUUACAAUACAUAGUAGGUGCUAGUUAAUAUUUGUUGAAUUGAAUGGAAUUGAAUUCAUCUGAGCCAGUUUCCUGCCCAGCCUGGAAUGGCACUGGGACAGGUGUCAUACAAGGCUCCACACCCAGCUAUGGUGCCAUUCUGGUGACCUUUAGUAAGCCAUUCCCUAUGGCAGAUAUCAUUACUGUACAACCCAGGAAUCAUAAAAGCUGCCACCUGGAUCAGUAGAAACAAUAAAAACAUAUAUCCCUUUCUAUAAAGUACCCUAAGCUCUUCAGAGGAGAGAAGGAUGUGUUUGGUUCAAGGUUUUUACGAAGAAGAUGGUAUAUUAGCCAGCCCAGUAGAAUCUCACAAAUAGGACAGGACUUUACUACAUGGCAUAUACUUUUUUAAAAAAAUAAACUUUUUCAUUUAGAAAAGUUUUAGAUUUCCAGAAAAAUUGCAAAUAUAGUAAAGCGAGUUCCCAACUGUUCUGCACCAGUUUCCCUUUCAUUGACAUCUUACAUUAGCAUGGUUCAUUUGCCACAAUUAAUGAGCCAAUACUGAUGCAUUAUGAUUAACUAUAUUCAGAUUUCCUUAGGUUUUACCUGGUGUCCUUUUUCUGUUCCAGGAUCCCAUCCAGGAUACUAUGUUACAAAUAAUUCUCAUGUCUCUUCUUGGUGGUGACACUUUCACGGGUUUUCCUUGUUCUUGAUGACUGUGACAGUUUUAAGGAGUGCUGGUCAGGUAUUUUGUAGGAUGCCCCUCAAUUGGGAUUUGUUUGAAGCUUUUCUUAUAUUAGACUACAUUAUGGGUUUAAGGGAGGAAGAUUACGGAAGUAAAAGUCCUGGAGAAAUGGCCUUGGAGUCACGAGCCAGAGGCUCUCCUGGGCGUUUGAUAGUGAGCUGAGAUGAAGGAAGGACCAACCAAAAGCAACAAGCCUCUGGCAUGGAAGACAGAACAACCUGGGUAGCUGAUGCAGUGGAAGACAUCACCUAAGGGAUUUUAUUAUCUUUUGUGAGUAAUGAAAGACUGGCAUGUGGAAUAACAAGAUUGAAAUAUGACCACAAUCAAAGGCACCUGAGCAAAGAAACACACCCAGGCCCUUCUGAGUGGUUGAGCCUUGAAAAGUAAAGGCAGAUAGUGGACAGUUUUUAAAUAUGAGACAAGAGUAGUGGGUGGUGGCUAGGACCAUGGAGUCACCUGGCUCUGCCACCUUCUCUCCUAAUGACUUUGAGUAGGUCACUUCACCAUUUGUGCCUCAGGGUGAUUAUCUCUAAAAGGCAAAUACAACAGUACCUUGCAAAGUUUUGUGAGGAUUAAGUAGGAUGAUAUCAGUAAGCACUUAAAAUGGUGCCUUGCCUAUAAUGAGUGCUUAAAAAAUAUUAGCUGUUAUUAUUAAAUUAAGAUGUGAGCAGAGCUCACUGGAGAGUCAUCCUAAAGUUAAGACCCAAAGGCUCAGAGGCUUUUAAAUAAAUUAGCUGGGGGAAAAAUAGAUUUCUUGAAAAAAUUCAGGAAAUUUCCCUUUAAAAAUCAAAAAGACUUAGUUACAACCCCCACACACCUGCUGGCAGGUGUAGCCAAUCACAGCAGGAGAGGGCAGAUGCCUGGAGUUUCUCAGGAGCAUGGCUCAGACCUCCUCAUGUCUUAUCCCACACGAUUUAAAUUUAGAAUCCUAUUCAGAGGACAAUUAACCAAAACUAAGUAUAUUGUACUGUCUAGGGUCAUGAACUAGAACAAAGCCAACUUGGCCUUUAUUGGAACAGUGAACUUGGGACUCCAGCUCUUGAACCAGCCAGCAAAUGACCUGUUAACUCAAGCAAGUUUCGACUUGCACCCUCAUCUCAGAGCUCUGGUCUUUCAUCUCUGAAGAAGAUGAUGGGAAAUGUGAUUUCUCCUCUUCAUACUCCUUUUCUCAUUUAUUCUGCGGGUGUUAUAUUAUAGGUGGUACAAGUGAAUAAUAACAAUAGAGGAUUCAUUGAGCCUUUAGUCUGUGUUGGCUACAAUUCUAAGCUCUUUACAUAUAUUAACUCAUUUAAUCCUUGUAACAGGUCUCUGAGUCAAUACUGUUAUCGGGUCCAUUUUUACAGAUGAGUAAACUGAGGUAUAGAGAAAUGAGUUGCUAAAAGUCUCAUAGCUAUAACAUGGCUAUAUUAGUUGUGACUAGGCUUGGUUGUAUGAAAACUCAAAUAACAUGGUUUAAUCAAUUAAUCAAGUUAUAGUUUAAUUGUCUCUGGAGUAAAUGAAGAUAGAAGGUAGGUGGUCAACAGUUGGAAUGGAAGCUCCACCAUCCUUAGAUUCAGGCUCCUCCCUCUUUCCUCUCCAGCCAUUUUAGUGAAUGACUUCUAUCCUCAGGUUCUCCUCAGUAGUCCAAGAUGGUGGUUGGAUGUCAGGUAUCAGAACGGUAUUUCAGUUAGAAGGAAAGGAAAGAGAGGGCAAUAUGGCUCUCCCAGAAGCUGGACAUAAAAACUUCCAUUGAUACCUCAUUGGUCAACUCUUUCUGCAAAGAAAGCUGCAAAACGGCUUUUCUUUUUUUUUUAAGUUGGGCACAUUUCUCAAAGUUCUGUUACAAAGAAGGAGGAAACGUAAAUAUUGAACCCAUGUACCAUAAAAUACAGUUUCUUGGACUAUAACUGUGGUGUUGGUUGGCAGGUGAAGACAUAACUGUGUCACUGUAUUUAUUUCCCACUAGGAAUAGUCAUUUAGAAAAUAUAAAUAAGGUGGUGCACAUAAUUUUAAAAAUUAGAACCUUAGUAAAGCUUCCAGGUUUCCCUUAAGCACAAUAGAUUUAUAAUUAAGAAAAUUCUUUAACUUCAUAGUAUUUAAAUGGUUAUUUGAGACUCUUAAAUUUAAGAGUAAAGGAAAGGCAAAGGGGUGUUUGAGUAAAAUUAUUUUUCUCCUUAUUUUUAUUCUGAAAUUUUAAUUUGAAGCUUUUCUCCCCACAAGGCAUUAUUCUCAGGUUUCUCUUUCAAAAUAUUCAGUACUAAAGCUUUCAUUUGUCUUCUAAAUAAAACAAGGGAAAACAACAUUUGAAUUAGAUGGUUAGAUAGUUUUUAGUUGGAUUAUAGUAUACCAGAUUGUGGCUAACACUUUUGACCUCAGUUUCUCCCAUUGUAAAGUAAGUAUAUUUAUUCAUUUGUUCAUUUAUUCGUUGAGUAAAUACUUUUUGGACUCAAUAUGUGUUAGAUAUUAAUACUUUAUAUUUGAUAGUCAUUUUUGUUUCAUUGUUAACCAAAAAAUGGGAUAAUAUGUAACAAAUUAUUUACAGCUUGUUACUCUUACUCAAUGAGUAGUUUUACAGUUAAAUAAAAAGUGUUUCUUUUCAUAAGAGUAAACCAAAUUUGUCUUAAGAGAAUACUGAAAAAGAAAGGUAAAAUUCCAUUUGGAAUCACAAGAAAUUCAAAUAGUUCAAAUAAGUACGUAUCACACUGAGAAUAUUUUAUAUUAUAAAUCUUUAAAGAUAAGCAUAUUGGAAGGAAAACGUCAACAGUUUUCCUUUUCAAGAGUAAACAAAUGCCUUGUGAAACACAAAGUUCUCCCCUAGCAAGUUGGUGAAAUGCUAAAAUAGAUAUAUUUGCAGAAAAUAUGCUUAUCACUUAUAUUAAUGUAUCCAUAUUGUUUCUCUAAGGGAAUAUUUAUAAAUAUUGCUACUGCAUUCCAGAAAUGUGUUGAGAAGAAAAUCAUAGUAGAAGAUUCUUCUGCAACGGAAAAUAUAAUAAAAAUAUUUUCCCUGAUAGCAUUCAAAACCAUGCAUGUCACAGUAAAUGAAGAGGUAUUAAUUCAGAAAAAGAGCCUCAGGCUGUGGCUGGGCUGUUGUGGGUUAUAUUUGGUCUGUUAUUAAUUCUGAUUACCUUCUGACCCUAGACAAGCCUUUCAAACUAUUGAGCUCUUCAUCUUUGUUUGCCAGAGUGCACAGCCAACAGAGCUGUGGGAGGAACUUCAGAACACCUAGGAGCUGCAGAGCACCAGUCAGAGAUGUGCUUAAAUGUUGUGGGCAUUGGGGAAAGGAGCCACAAAAGUGGUUUGAGUCCUUAAAAUAGAGUAUAUUCACUUCAAAUCACAAAAGACACAGAAGCCUCCAUUUCAAAUAUGGAUUCAGAAAAGAAGUUAAUGAAGAAAAGCAGAGUCCAUGAGAAGGGAAGCAUCAAGAACACCAAGACUUGGAAAAAGAUAGCUCUCUAGGAGAAGAAUAUGGUAGUUAUUUUUUUUUUAGGCAGAAAAUCAGUUAACAAAUACAAUUCUCAACAUA
Non-coding RNA from Macaca mulatta (Rhesus monkey), 6113 nucleotides. NCBI's taxonomy places the organism in Eukaryota, Metazoa, Chordata, Mammalia, Primates, Cercopithecidae. The record is from RefSeq and is a predicted model, not a curated record.